RNAcentral lists this ribosomal RNA (353 nucleotides) under uncultured bacterium. Its description in RNAcentral is "partial 16S ribosomal RNA". The record is from RNAcentral.
GGAGUCUGGGCCGUGUCUCAGUCCCAGUCUGGAUGAUCAUCUUCUCAAACCAUCUAACGAUCGUCGACUUGGUGAGCCAUUACCUCACCAACUAUCUAAUCGUACGCAGGCCAGUCCCAAACCGGAUAAAUCCUUUAAUCCGAAGAUCACAUGCGGUAUUAGCCACUCUUUCGAGUAGUUAUCCCUCAGUUUGGGGUCCGUUCCCACGCGUUACUCAGCCGUCCGCCGCUCGUCAGCAGCUUCACUGUGUCCUCGAAUCCAACAACUUGCACGAUGGCCAAGUGUGUCAAGAACACGGUGAAGCCCUGUUACCGCUCGACUUGCAUGUAUUAGGCAUGCCGCCAGCAUUCAUC